Molecule: ribosomal RNA, 661 nt
Filed under: Agrobacterium sp. J355
Lineage: Bacteria; Pseudomonadati; Pseudomonadota; Alphaproteobacteria; Hyphomicrobiales; Rhizobiaceae
Description: bacterial SSU rRNA
Rfam family: Bacterial small subunit ribosomal RNA
Source: RNAcentral
CUUAACACAUGCAAGUCGAGCGCACCUUCGGGUGAGCGGCGGACGGGUUAGUAACGCGUGGGAACAUACCCUUUGGUACGGAAUAGCCUCUGGAAACGGAGAGUAAUACCGUAUGAGCCCUUCGGGGGAAAGAUUUAUCGCCAAAGGAUUGGCCCGCGUUAGAUUAGGUAGUUGGUGGGGUAAUGGCCUACCAAGCCUACGAUCUAUAGCUGGUUUUAGAGGAUGAUCAGCAACACUGGGACUGAGACACGGCCCAGACUCCUACGGGAGGCAGCAGUGGGGAAUCUUGGACAAUGGGGGCAACCCUGAUCCAGCCAUGCCGCGUGAGUGAUGAAGGCCUUAGGGUCGUAAAGCUCUUUCGCCUGUGAAGAUAAUGACGGUAGCAGGUAAAGAAACCCCGGCUAACUCCGUGCCAGCAGCCGCGGUAAUACGGAGGGGGUUAGCGUUGUUCGGAAUUACUGGGCGUAAAGCGCACGUAGGCGGACUGGAAAGUUGGGGGUGAAAUCCCAGGGCUCAACCCUGGAACUGCCUCCAAAACUAUCAGUCUAGAGUUCGAGAGAGGUGAGUGGAAUUCCGAGUGUAGAGGUGAAAUUCGUAGAUAUUCGGAGGAACACCAGUGGCGAAGGCGGCUCACUGGCUCGAUACUGACGCUGAGGUGCGU